GUGGCUCCAGUGGCCUAGAGUAUGAGACCCGGGCGGAGUAUGAGACGUGCGAAUUUGGGCUGCCGAGCCGCUGCUGUGAAGAGAGGGUCACCGGCCGCAGUGGCGAGGCAGCCAGCAUUCGCCAUCUCCCAGGCCCAACUUUGCGCCCUGAGCUUAGCGCACGCGGUGCUAAGACGCAAAGUCGGAUAAAAGGGAAAAGUGUUUCCAGCGUUUCCCCAAAACGUUCUCCCGAUAUUUCCCCAAAAUAGGAGUGGUGGAGUGAUGACACGUGAUGGAGAGAACACUCGUACGCAACACGGCUAAGUCCUGUCAAUCAAGAUUUCAUCUCCCCCACUGGCCUGGCAAUGGGGACAGAGAAGCAGGAAGGGGGCGCGAGCGCCGGAGAGGUGCUCGCGGCCCGGGACCGCGGGCACCCCUGGCCAAGGUCUGCCAAGCCCAGCAAGUGAGCCGUCGGCAGGAUGGAGAGCAGAUAAUUGGGCCAGAGGGAGGGGUGCAGAACCUGGAUCCUGGAGACAGUUGGCGAAUACAUGUGUGUGUCUUGCUGAGGAAGGACCAGCAGAAGGGAAGACUGGAAAUCUGGCCUUUUUUGGUUCGCCUUUGUCACUGACGCACUGGGCGCAGUGAAGGAAUUACCGUUUAUUCAGAGGCUGACAUGCUGCUGAUUGAAGUACAGAGAAGAGCAAUCAAGGUUGGUUUUUUUUUUUUUUUUUCAUGUAGCUUUUGACAUGUACAAAGAAAAUGAUUUCAAGAAACAAACACACACUAGAAAGAAACAAACUGUAAAUAGUUGCCAGUCAGCUACUCGGAUUACUCGGAGUAAUUACUCAAAUACUCGGAUUACUACAAGUAUUUUGCCACUCUCACUCUUACCACUCCUCCCCCAUAAUCAGCAUCUAAAUGCAACAGGAAUUAUUCUUUUGUUCAUGACUGUGUGGGUGGGGAAGCAAAAGGUCAGACUUCAUGGCAUCUCGUGUUCAGGGACCCUAGGACCUGGGCUUGGAUAACCUGACAGCCCCAGACACCCUCCCUGACACAGGCAGGGAGGCAGCCUCACAGGAAAUGAGCAGAAGCCUUCAUCUCC
RNAcentral lists this long non-coding RNA (1081 nucleotides) under Sus scrofa (pig). RNAcentral describes it as "lncRNA (ENSSSCG00030061761.1)". The record is from RNAcentral. Lineage: Eukaryota; Metazoa; Chordata; Mammalia; Artiodactyla; Suidae.